AUUGAACGCUGGCGGCACGCCUAAUACAUGCAAGUCGAGCGGUAACACUUCGGGUGACGAGCGGCGGACGGCAGAGUAACGCGUAGGAAUGUACCCCAAACUGAGGGAUAACUGCCCGAAAGGGUAGCUAAUACCGCAUGUGAUCUUCGGAUUAAAGCUUUUAGCGGUUUGGGAACGGCCUGCGUAUGAUUAGCUUGUUGGUGAGGUAAUGGCUCACCAAGGCGACGAUCAUUAGCUGGUCUGAGAGGAUGAUCAGCCUGACUGGGACUGAGACACGGCCCAGACUCCUACGGGAGGCAGCAGUAGGGAAUUUUCCACAAUGGGCGAAAGCCUGAUGGAGCAACGCCGCGUGCAGGAUGAAUGCCUUCGGGUUGUAAACUGCUUUUGUUUGUGACGAUUAUGACGGUAACAAGCGAAUAAGGGUCUGCUAACUACGUGCCAGCCGCCGCAGUAA
This 454-nucleotide ribosomal RNA is filed under the name uncultured bacterium. RNAcentral describes it as "partial 16S ribosomal RNA". It matches the Rfam family "Bacterial small subunit ribosomal RNA", at positions 30 to 523 of the family's 1533-position model. The record is from RNAcentral.